GAUGAAGAACGUAGCGAAAUGCGAUAAGUAAUGUGAAUUGCAGAAUUCAGUGAAUCAUCGAAUCUUUGAACGCACAUUGCGCCCGCUAGUAUUCUGGCGGGCAUGCCUGUCCGAGCGUCAUUUCAACCCUCAAGCCCCCGGGCUUGGUGUUGGGGAUCGGCGAGCCUCCGCGCCCGCCGUCCCCUAAAUCUAGUGGCGGUCUCGCUGUAGCUUCCUCUGCGUAGUAGCACACCUCGCACUGGGAAACAGCGCGGCCACGCCGUUAAACCCCCAACUUCUGAACGUUUGACCUUGGAUCAGGUAGGAAUACCCGCUGAACUUAAGCAUAUCAAUAAGCGGAGGA
RNAcentral lists this unclassified non-coding RNA (343 nucleotides) under soil metagenome. RNAcentral's name for it is "partial contains 5.8S ribosomal RNA, internal transcribed spacer 2, and large subunit ribosomal RNA". The stretch from base 1 to 120 matches the Rfam family "5.8S ribosomal RNA", at positions 35 to 154 of the family's 154-position model. The record is from RNAcentral.